This 469-nucleotide ribosomal RNA is filed under the name uncultured bacterium. Its description in RNAcentral is "bacterial SSU rRNA". It matches the Rfam family "Bacterial small subunit ribosomal RNA", at positions 11 to 524 of the family's 1533-position model. The record is from RNAcentral.
GUUUGAUCCUGGCUCAGAGCGAACGCUGGCGGCAGGCUUAACACAUGCAAGUCGAGCGCCCGUAGCAAUACGGGAGCGGCAGACGGGUGAGUAACGCGUGGGAACGUACCCUUUGGUUCGGAACAACACAGGGAAACUUGUGCUAAUACCGGAUAAGCCCUUACGGGGAAAGAUUUAUCGGUAUUGGAUGAGCCCGCGUUGGAUUAGCUAGUUGGUGAGGUAAUGGCCCACCAAGGCGACGAUCCAUAGCUGGUCUGAGAGGAUGAUCAGCCACACUGGGACUGAGACACGGCCCAGACUCCUACGGGAGGCAGCAGUGGGGAAUAUUGGACAAUGGGCGAAAGCCUGAUCCAGCCAUGCCGCGUGAGUGAUGAAGGCCUUAGGGUUGUAAAGUCCUUUCAGCGGGGAAGAUAAUGACGGUACCCGCAGAAGAAGCCCCGGCUAACUUCGUGCCAGCAGCCGCGGUAAU